UACGUAGGGUCCGAGCGUUGUCCGGAGUUACUGGGCGUAAAGCGCGCGCAGGCGGCUGUCCAAGCCCGGCGUGAAAGCCCCCGGCUCAACCGGGGAGGGUCGUCGGGGACUGGGCGGCUUGAGGACGGCAGGGGUCGGUGGAAUUCCCGGUGUAGUGGUGAAAUGCGUAGAGAUCGGGAGGAACACCCGUGGCGAAGGCGGCCGACUGGGCCGGACCUGACGCUGAGGCGCGAAGGCGUGGGGAGCGAACGGG
This 253-nucleotide ribosomal RNA is filed under the name uncultured bacterium. Its description in RNAcentral is "partial 16S ribosomal RNA". It matches the Rfam family "Bacterial small subunit ribosomal RNA", at positions 524 to 776 of the family's 1533-position model. The record is from RNAcentral.